RNAcentral lists this long non-coding RNA (2760 nucleotides) under Sus scrofa (pig). RNAcentral's name for it is "lncRNA (ENSSSCG00030000332.1)". The record is from RNAcentral. Lineage: Eukaryota; Metazoa; Chordata; Mammalia; Artiodactyla; Suidae.
UUUUUUUCCUUAAUUUCUCUUUCUGAUUUCCAUUGUUAGUAUAUAGACGUGCAACAGAUUUCUGUGUAUUAAUUUUGUAUCCAAACAACUUUACAAAUUCAUUGAUGAACUCUAGCAGUUUUCUGGUAGCAUCUUUAGGAUUUUCUAGGUAUAAUAUCAUGUCUUCUGCAAACAGUGUUAACUUUUUUCUAAAUGUUUGAUAGAAUUCACUUGUAAAGCCAUCUGGUCUUGGGCUUUUGUUUUUUGGAAGUUUUUAAAUCACGGUUUCAAUUUCAGUACUUGGAAUUGGUCUACUCAUAUUUUUUAUUUCUUCCUUUGUCAGUCUCAGAAAAUUGUACCUUUCUAAGAAUUGGUGUAGUUCUUCUAGGUUGUCUAUUUUAUUGGCAAUAGUUUCUUAUGAUCCUUUGUAUUUCCAUUGUAACUUCUUUUUCAUUUCUCAUUUUAUUGAUUUGAACUCUCACCCUUUUUUUCUUGAUAAAUCUGACUAAAGGUUUAUCAGUUUUGUUGAUCUUUUCAAAGAACCAGUUUUUAGUUUCAUUGAUCUUCUCUAUUGUUUUCUUUGUUUCUAUUUAUUUCUGCUUUGAUCUUCAUGAUUCCUUUCCUUCUACUAACCUUGGGUUUUGUUUUUUCUUCUUUCUCUAGUUGCUUAAGAGGUAAAGUUAGGUUGUUUAUUUGGGAUUUUUCUUGCUUCCUGAGCUAAGCUUGUAUUGCUCUAAAUUCUCUUAGAACUGCUUUUGAUGCAUCCCAUUGGUUUUGGAUCAUUGUGUCUUCAUUAUCAUUUUUCCCUAGGUAGUUUUUAAUUUCUUCUUUGAUUUCUUCAGUGAUCCCUUUGCUGAGCAGAGCUCUGCAGGGAAGGGGUCUCAUUUCCAAAAUGAUGAUUUGUGCUUUUUCUGUUUUAAAUUAGAUUUAGUGGAGUUGCUUUUAGCAGGUACUUGGCCUCCUCUGUUUUCCUUCUCUCUUAUUGGAAAUAUGGGGCUGAAUGGGGGUUAUAAACUAAACAUGGCUCUGUGGGGGCUGGGGUUCUCUGACCUGCACCUUGUUGCUUUUCCUGAGCUCCACUUGGAGCCAACUUCACUCCACUGGCACAUGUACUAAAAACAGAAUUUGUCUUCUCAAAACUUCUGGGUUAAGAUUUCCCCAAAUUGUUGGCAUUUUAAAACAAAGCCACCAUGUGAUAUACCAAGUGGGGAUCCAAGGCCUCAGUCAAGGUCACCUGCCCCUCCUCUAUCUCUAAGCCAUUCCCCCUGCCCUUUUCACUUGUGACUGGGGUGGGGGUUGACCCUGUGUAACCGGGGUGAAUCUCCACAGCUUGGAAAUCCUGUAAGUGACCCUUCUGUGGGUCCUUGACUACAGUAACUCUAGCCUUUCUUCUCCAGGCCCACACUAGUCACCACCAGCUCCAGAUUAAGCCAUGCUCCAGAUUGCAGUUAUAUCAUCUUUAAAAUGGAGAUUGUAUUCAUUCCUGCCUCCAGUGUGGUUUGGAGAUCCAGGGUGACAAAAUGACUGGAAAGCUCUUACGCUCCACCCCACACAUAGCAUGUACAGAAAAUGGCCAUGUUCCCCACCUUAUCAUCCCUUUUUGGCCUUUAAGAUAUUUGGGGGGGGAAGUUUUUAAUUUGCAUAAAUCAGGAGAAUAUAUUCUAUCUCUGUCCUUUCAGAAGGCAGUAGGGGUUCUUCGUUCUCUUUGGCAUCCUGUAAAAGACACUCCUCUGUCCCUGAGGCUCAAAGACUCAGGGAAGGUCUGAUCUCUGUCUCCAUACCCCCUUGAUCUCCAGCCCGUUUCUCUGAGCACAGGCUCAUCUCUGGAUAUCGAGAGUAGGAUUUUGGAGGUGAACAGGACAAAGUCCCGAGGCCAGCAUUCACAGCUCACAAUGGAACUUGGCCGCCUUCGGUCACUAGCCCAGCCAAAGCCUUUCUUCCUGCCAUGACCCCACUACAAAGAGAAGAAACACACAUUGACUUCAUCCUUACUGAGAACCUCCCCAGAUUUGGCACCGUCUAGGAUCUAAGAAAAUAUCAGUGCACAAAACAGACAGAUAUUCCUGCCCUCACGCAGCUUAUGUUAUAGCAGGGGAGGGCAGUGGGGACAAUAAACAAAUAUUAUGAAUAAACAGAAAUAACACAAAUUUGUUAACAGAUAAUCCCACCACUCUGGCAUCCCUCGUUUAAAAUAUAUGUACUCUUUACCCAUGGUGGUUUAAUUCAGAUCAUAAUGGCCAUAAGACUACUCUUCCAAGACCACUGGGGUGGGUCACAGUGUUCAGCAAAGAUUUGUUUAAGCUUCUUUUAAAAGAACCCACAUGGGUAGAAGAGCAGGCCCAGGAAUAUCUGCCCUAUGCCCACAGUCACAUGUGAGAAAAGUUGACCUUCUACACGUUUGACUAAAUUCUGCAAAUCUGAAACUAGAGAGAAGGCAAAUGUAAAAGGCAUUUCAUGGGAAGCCAGUAAAGGGUGGUUUAAAAACUUUAAAAAGAAACAGUCUGGGAGUUCCCGUCGUGGCGCAGUGGUUAAUGAAUCCGACUAGGAACCAUGAGGUUGCGGGUUCGAUCCCUGCCCUUGCUCAGUGGGUUAACGAUCUGGCGUUGCCGUGAGCUGUGGUGUAGGUUGUAGACACGGCUCAGAUCCCGUGUUGCUGUGGCUCCGGCGUAGGCUGGCAGCUACAGCUCUGAUUGGACCCCUGGCCUGGGAACCUCCAUAUGCCGCAGGAGCGGCCCAAAGAAAUAGCAAAAAGACAAAAAGAAAAAAAGAAAAAAAAAAAAA